GAUUAAUACCCGAUAGCAUAAUGAUUCCGCAUGGUUUCAUUAUUAAAGGAUUCCGGUAAAGGAUGGGGAUGCGUUCCAUUAGGUUGUUGGUGAGGUAACGGCUCACCAAGCCUUCGAUGGAUAGGGGUUCUGAGAGGAAGGUCCCCCACAUUGGAACUGAGACACGGUCCAAACUCCUACGGGAGGCAGCAGUGAGGAAUAUUGGUCAAUGGGCGUUAGCCUGAACCAGCCAAGUAGCGUGAAGGAUGAAGGCUCUAUGGGUCGUAAACUUCUUUUAUAUAAGAAUAAAGUGCAGUAUGUAUACUGUUUUGUAUGUAUUAUAUGAAUAAGGAUCGGCUAACUCCGUGCCAGCAGCCGCGGUAAUACGGAGGAUCCGAGCGUUAUCCGGAUUUAUUGGGUUUAAAGGGAGCGUAGGUGGACUGGUAAGUCAGUUGUGAAAGUUUGCGGCUCAACCGUAAAAUUGCAGUUGAUACUGUCAGUCUUGAGUACAGUAGAGGUGGGCGGAAUUCGUGGUGUAGCGGUGAAAUGCUUAGAUAUCACGAAGAACUCCGAUUGCGAAGGCAGCUCACUGGACUGCAACUGACACUGAUGCUCGAAAGUGUGGGUAUCAAACAGGAUUAGAUA
This 624-nucleotide ribosomal RNA is filed under the name uncultured bacterium. RNAcentral describes it as "bacterial SSU rRNA". It matches the Rfam family "Bacterial small subunit ribosomal RNA", at positions 161 to 784 of the family's 1533-position model. The record is from RNAcentral.